CACGUAGGGAGCAAGCGUUGUCCGGAUUUAUUGGGCGUAAAGAGCUCGUAGGCGGCUCAGUAAGUCAGGUGUGAAACCUCCAGGCUCAACCUGGAGACGCCACCUGAUACUGCUGUGGCUUGAGUCCGGUAGGGGAGCGUGGAAUUCCUGGUGUAGCGGUGAAAUGCGCAGAUAUCAGGAGGAACACCAAUGGCGAAGGCAGCACUCUGGGACGUGACUGACGCUGAGACGCGAAAGCGUGGGGAGCAAACAGG
RNAcentral lists this ribosomal RNA (254 nucleotides) under uncultured bacterium. RNAcentral's name for it is "partial 16S ribosomal RNA". It matches the Rfam family "Bacterial small subunit ribosomal RNA", at positions 524 to 776 of the family's 1533-position model. The record is from RNAcentral.